Long non-coding RNA from Sinocyclocheilus rhinocerous, 282 nucleotides. RefSeq lists it as uncharacterized. The record is from RefSeq and is a predicted model, not a curated record. The transcript is spliced from 3 exons. NCBI's taxonomy places the organism in Eukaryota, Metazoa, Chordata, Actinopteri, Cypriniformes, Cyprinidae.
AAAUAAGUGUUGUUGUUUUUUUUAUCCUUUUUCAAUAGAAUUGGCCCAGACUUCUGCAGUGUCAAGUGAAGGAAGCUCCUCUCAUAAGAUUGCAAACUGUGAGUCUGAUGACACUGAGUGUGAGUGAUGGAAGCCCUUCAAGAAAGGAGCAGAAUGCUGAAGAUGAAGCCAGAAUUAAGUCAAGUUCCUGGCUUCUCCCAAGACAUUCAAGGACCCAAUUGACCUCGGAAUCAGCUGUAAAGGAGGAUGAAACCGAUUUCUAAGAAUGGGACAGCGAUAUUG